Molecule: ribosomal RNA, 253 nt
Filed under: uncultured bacterium
Lineage: Bacteria
Description: partial 16S ribosomal RNA
Rfam family: Bacterial small subunit ribosomal RNA
Source: RNAcentral
UACGGAGGGGGCUAGCGUUGUUCGGAAUUACUGGGCGUAAAGCGCGCGUAGGCGGCUUUGUAAGUUAGAGGUGAAAGCCCGGGGCUUAACUCCGGAACUGCCUUUAAGACUGCAUCGCUAGAAUCGUGGAGAGGUGAGUGGAAUUCCGAGUGUAGAGGUGAAAUUCGUAGAUAUUCGGAAGAACACCAGUGGCGAAGGCGACUCACUGGACACGUAUUGACGCUGAGGUGCGAAAGCGUGGGGAGCAAACAGG